AACGUAGGAGACAAACGUUAUCCGGAGUUACUGGGCGUAAAGGGCGUGUAGGCGGUUUGUUAAGUCUGGCGUGAAAGCUCUCGGCUAAACCGGGAGAGGUCGUUGGAUACUGGCAAACUUGAGGAUGGUAGAGGCGUGUGGAAUUCCGGGUGUAGUGGUGAAAUGCGUAGAGAUCCGGAGGAACACCAGUGGCGAAGGCGACACGCUGGGCCAUACCUGACGCUAAAGCGCGACAGCAUGGGGAGCAAACGGG
This 253-nucleotide ribosomal RNA is filed under the name uncultured bacterium. RNAcentral's name for it is "partial 16S ribosomal RNA". It matches the Rfam family "Bacterial small subunit ribosomal RNA", at positions 524 to 776 of the family's 1533-position model. The record is from RNAcentral.